GGUGUUUCCUGGAUUUUAUUCCUGCAGCCUGUAAAUGUUGUCUAGGAUCUGACUUUCCAGCAGCUGGGUCUUCCAGCCUUGGGAGCAAACAGAGGACACCCCAAUGUCUCAAGUGGAGUCACUUGCGUACUUGGCUACUACUCUCACUGAGUCCAGUGGAGUUCACUGGCCGGGCAGCCAUGGAGAUGAGUAGCCUCCCCUCCCAUGCCCAAGACCAACAGCCAAGCAACAGCUGGCGGAGGUGUUUGGAAGUGGCGUUUCCUCUCAGCAGCACAGCCCGGAGUUAGGUUCUUCAGACUUCCUGAGAGGCCACCCCCUUGGAGAUUUAAUCCUUUCCCCAGUGUCCUUCCUGCCACCUGUAGUCUAAACUUAGCGACAAGCGCCCCUUCUUCCCCAGCCACUUUGGCAGGCCAUCUUGCUGCUAAUAAGCAAGAUGUGCUCCCUCAUCGGGCCACCUUGAGAGGGGAAGCUCGAGCAGGAGCCAGCGACAAUGAUCUUCCUGUGAGUUUUUAAAAUUUCCAUUGACUCUAUAAAUAAUAUACAAUGGGGAAAAUGCACCUGUCUCUGUCUCUAUGUGAAAAGAAAUAAAAUCCUUACCCCUCUCACUAGAAGGCUUCACUACCAAUGUUUUUACCCAGGCCUCUGUAUAUUCGUAUUUGAAUACUAUUUUUAAUCCUGACAGCAAUAAAAGCUUACUAAUAAAAACUUUAUUGGUUUUUACCAAAAAAUAAAAAAUCAGAUGAAAAAUG
RNAcentral lists this long non-coding RNA (749 nucleotides) under Rattus norvegicus (Norway rat). Its description in RNAcentral is "long non-coding RNA NONRATT027768". Lineage: Eukaryota; Metazoa; Chordata; Mammalia; Rodentia; Muridae. The record is from RNAcentral.